This 253-nucleotide ribosomal RNA is filed under the name uncultured bacterium. RNAcentral describes it as "partial 16S ribosomal RNA". It matches the Rfam family "Bacterial small subunit ribosomal RNA", at positions 524 to 776 of the family's 1533-position model. The record is from RNAcentral.
UACGUAGGGGGCAAGCGUUGUCCGGAUUUAUUGGGCGUAAAGAGCGUGUAGGCGGCUUUACAGGUCCGUUGUGAAAACUCGAGGCUCAACCUCGAGACGCCGGUGGAAACCGUAAAGCUAGAGUCCGGAAGAGGAGAAUGGAAUUCCUGGUGUAGCGGUGAAAUGCGCAGAUAUCAGGAAGAACACCCGUGGCGAAGGCGGUUCUCUGGGACGGUACUGACGCUGAGACGCGAAAGCGUGGGGAGCGAACAGG